CCUACGGGUGGCAGCAGUGGGGAAUAUUGGGCAAUGGGCGCAAGCCUGACCCAGCAACGCCGCGUGAAGGAAGAAGGCUUUCGGGUUUUAAACUUCUUUUUUCAGGGAAGAGUAGAAGACUGUACCUGACUAAUUAGCCACGUCUAACUACGUGCCAUCAGCCGCGGCAAUACGUAGGUGGCAAGCAUUGUCCGGAUUUACUGGGUGUAAAGGGCGUGUAGCCGGGUUGACAAGUCAGAUGUGAAAUCCUGCGGCUUAACCGCAGAACUGCAUUUGAAACUGUUGAUCUUGAGAACUGGAGAGGCAGACGGAAUUUCUAGUGUAGCGGUGAAAUGCGUAGAUAUUAGGAGGAACACCAGUGGCGAAGGCGGUCUGCUGGACAGCAACUGACGGUGAGGCGCGAAAGCGUGGGGAGCAAACAGGAUUAGAUACCCGGGUAGUC
RNAcentral lists this ribosomal RNA (442 nucleotides) under uncultured bacterium. Its description in RNAcentral is "partial 16S ribosomal RNA". It matches the Rfam family "Bacterial small subunit ribosomal RNA", at positions 338 to 795 of the family's 1533-position model. The record is from RNAcentral.